This is a long non-coding RNA of Homo sapiens (human), 506 nucleotides long. Lineage: Eukaryota; Metazoa; Chordata; Mammalia; Primates; Hominidae. The record is from Ensembl.
CCUGAUCAUAAGUCAUGCUAGGGCAAGGACUGCCCUCCUGGGAAAUUUGAAGACCUUCUGGCCAAUGAAUGAGGUGUAAUUUCUCAGAAUAAUUUUACUCUCUGAUGAAAGGAGGGAAUAAGGUAACGAGAUGUUCCCUCCCUCCCUUCUCACAUUGGACCUUGUGUGAGGACGGGACACUGGAGCUGCUGUGGCCACCUGGACCAAGAGAAUCAAGGAGGAGCUGACCCAAACCCUGAUGCUGCAAAGCCAUUGGCCAGCGCUGGCAUUGUCCGCCUCUGGAGUCCUUGUUACAAGAGAAUUAUAAACUCCUGUUGUUGAGACUUUGAGACCCCAUGGCGGAGACGGAGGGUCCUUCCACUGCAGCACAAAGUGGGGCACUUGCAGUCACAUCGCCUGUGUUCACGGUGGAGCGGAUCUACUGCCCUUGUAGGGCUGAUGCAUUGCAAGGGGCUGAACCUCCUGCACUGUCUCCUCUUGGUGUAAAUAAACACUGUGCCACCUGA